This 256-nucleotide ribosomal RNA is filed under the name uncultured bacterium. Its description in RNAcentral is "partial 16S ribosomal RNA". It matches the Rfam family "Bacterial small subunit ribosomal RNA", at positions 524 to 777 of the family's 1533-position model. The record is from RNAcentral.
UACGAAGGGGGCUAGCGUUGCUCGGAAUCACUGGGCGUAAAGCGCACGUAGGCGGAUCUUUAAGUCAGAGGUGAAAAUCCCAAGGCUCAACCUUGGAACUGCCUUUGAUACUGGGGAUCUCGAGUCCGGAAGAGGUGAGUGGAACUCCGAGUGUAGAGGUGAAAUUCGUAGAUAUUCGGAAGAACACCAGUGGCGAAGGCGGCUCACUGGGUCCGGUACUGACGCUGAGGUGCGAAAGCGUGGGGAGCAAACAGGG